This 392-nucleotide ribosomal RNA is filed under the name uncultured Glomus. Its description in RNAcentral is "SSU rRNA". It matches the Rfam family "Eukaryotic small subunit ribosomal RNA", at positions 569 to 964 of the family's 1831-position model. The record is from RNAcentral. Lineage: Eukaryota; Fungi; Glomeromycota; Glomeromycetes; Glomerales; Glomeraceae.
AGCAGCCGCGGUAAUUCCAGCUCCAAUAGCGUAUAUUAAAGUUGUUGCAGUUAAAAAGCUCGUAGUUGAAUUUCGGGGCCAAUACGUCGGUCGUGCUUUCGGGUACGCACUGUCGUUAUUGGUUUCUACCUUCUGACGAACCAUGAUGUCAUUAAUUUGGUGUUUUGGGGAGUUAGGACUGUUACUUUGAAAAAAUUAGAGUGUUUAAAGCAGGCAUUAGCUUGAAUACAUUAGCAUGGAAUAAUGAAAUAGGACGUUCGAUCCUAUUUUGUUGGUUUCUAGGAUCAACGUAAUGAUUAAUAGGGAUAGUUGGGGGCAUUAGUAUUCAAUUGUCAGAGGUGAAAUUCUUGGAUUUAUUGAAGACUAACUACUGCGAAAGCAUUUGCCAAGGA